CCUACGGGAGGCUGCAGUGAGGAAUAUUGGUCAAUGGACGCAAGUCUGAACCAGCCAUGCCGCGUGAAGGAAGACGGCUCUAUGAGUUGUAAACUGCUUUUGUACGGGGGUAAACGCAGAUACGCGUAUCUGUCUGAAAGUAUCGUACGAAUAAGGAUCGGCUAACUCCGUGCCAGCAGCCGCGGUAAUACGGAGGAUUCGAGCGUUAUCCGGAUUUAUUGGGUUUAAAGGGUGCGUAGGCGGUCGGAUAAGUUAGAGGUGAAAUCCCGAGGCUCAACCUCGGAAUUGCCUCUGAUACUGUCCGGCUAGAGAGUAGUGUCGGUAGGCGGAAUGCAUGGUGUAGCGGUGAAAUGCUUAGAGAUCAUACAGAACACCGAUUGCGAAGGCAGCUUACCAAGCUACUUCUGACGUUGAGGCACGAAAGCGUGGGUAGCAAACAGGAUUAGAUACCCUGGUAGUC
Molecule: ribosomal RNA, 460 nt
Filed under: uncultured bacterium
Lineage: Bacteria
Description: partial 16S ribosomal RNA
Rfam family: Bacterial small subunit ribosomal RNA
Source: RNAcentral